Molecule: non-coding RNA, 69 nt
Organism: Rattus norvegicus (Norway rat)
Lineage: Eukaryota; Metazoa; Chordata; Mammalia; Rodentia; Muridae
Source: Rfam
GGGGAUUUGGCUCAGUGGUAGAGCGCUUGCCUAGCAAGUGCGAGGUCCUGGGUUCGGUCCCCAGCUCCG